AAGGAAGAAGAAGAAGAAGAAAUAAAGGGAUAGAAAGGGAAGAAAGAAGAAGAGGAGGAAGAAUAAGAAGAGAGAGGAGAAAUAGAGGGAAAGCGAGAAGAGAAGUAAUAAGAAAUAAAAGGAAAAAAUCUCAGGGAAGAAGGACGAAGAAAUAGAGCAAAACAUGUAAUGUGACUUGAGCAUGAUAUUGCAAAACAUGGUUUGGUAUAGUAUUUUUCUAAUAAUUUUAUUGUAAUUAGCUUAGUAGUUAAAAGGCACAAGAAGGAGCAAAGUGUGUGACUAGUCUUGCCCUUGCAACCUUUCACAUAAAUUUCGGCAAGAUUCUCUCAAUUAUCUUUUAGGCUUCCUUUGAAAAAAGUCAUUUGCAAGAAAAGAAUUCAAAUAAAUUUUCAUACAAUCAUAUUACUUUUAGCAUGAUUUCUAUUUUUAAAAUAAAUUCUUUAUUUAAGUUAAAAGAAUUAAAUUCUUUCAAUUAUUAUGAUUCUAAACACGAGAAUUGACAAAAAUGAAAUUAAUUGAAUUAAAUUUUUGUAAAAAUCUAGUUUCCAAAUAGUUUGUAGAGAUUGACUUGUAUAUGUCAACACAUGCAUACACAAAGUUAUAUAUGUUAAAGGAAUGUGUACAAGAUUAAAGCUCAUUACAAAGAAAGAGGCUAAAAUUAUGUU
This 665-nucleotide unclassified non-coding RNA is filed under the name Hevea brasiliensis (rubber tree). The record is from RNAcentral. Lineage: Eukaryota; Viridiplantae; Streptophyta; Magnoliopsida; Malpighiales; Euphorbiaceae.